Molecule: small RNA, 26 nt
Filed under: Bombyx mori (domestic silkworm)
Lineage: Eukaryota; Metazoa; Arthropoda; Insecta; Lepidoptera; Bombycidae
Description: ovarian small RNA-15120
Source: RNAcentral
GAACAGACACAGAUGGCCAGUCUCGA